Molecule: ribosomal RNA, 253 nt
Filed under: uncultured prokaryote
Description: partial 16S ribosomal RNA
Rfam family: Bacterial small subunit ribosomal RNA
Source: RNAcentral
ACAGAGGGGGCAAGCGUUGUUCGGAAUUACUGGGCGUAAAGGGCGCGUAGGCGGCCUGUUAAGUCGAACGUGAAAUCCCCGGGCUCAACCCGGGAACUGCGUCCGAUACUGGCAGGCUUGAAUUCGGGAGAGGGAUGUGGAAUUCCAGGUGUAGCGGUGAAAUGCGUAGAUAUCUGGAGGAACACCGGUGGCGAAGGUGGCAUCCCGGACCGAUAUUGACGCUGAUGCGCGAAAGCCAGGGGAGCAAACGGGA